GACGAACGCUGGCGGCGUGCUUAACACAUGCAAGUCGAACGGUGAACCUCUUCGGAUGGGCUCCGUGGCUAACGGGUGAGUAACACGUUGGCAACCUGCUCACGGACCUGGGAUAACUCCACGAAAUAGGGGCUGAUAACGGAUGUUCACGGCUUCCCGUAUCGGAGGUGGUGGAAAGGGUUCGCGGCUGGGGGUGGGAACGCCGCGUGUGAGAUGGUUGGGUGGGUAGGGACCUACCAAAGCGACGACAGGCAGCCGGCCUGAGCGGGGAGCCGGCCCCACUGGGACGGGGACACGGCCCGGCCUCCAACGGGAGGCAGCAGUGGGGAGUAUAACGCAAUGGGCGGGAGCCUGACGCAGCGCAGCCGCGUGGGGGAUGACGGCCUUCGGGUUGUAAACCUCUUUCAGAAGGGACGAAGCGAAAGUGACGGUACCUGAAGAAGAAGCACCGGCCAACUACGUG
This 463-nucleotide ribosomal RNA is filed under the name uncultured bacterium. Its description in RNAcentral is "partial 16S ribosomal RNA". It matches the Rfam family "Bacterial small subunit ribosomal RNA", at positions 28 to 507 of the family's 1533-position model. The record is from RNAcentral.